GCCCACUACGUCUCAGUGGGCGUCCCAAAGAACCCUAGAUAUGGUCUCUUCCUAGUCCGUUCCGGAAAUGCGACUGCGUACGGGCUCGUCACGUGAUAGUGACGUCAGCGCGCCCGCGCCCUCUGGCCGGACGCCCAAGGCUUCCGCGAGAUUUUCGGUGGGUGUACGGCUGCUUUACGCCACGGCGUUGCUGCGUUUGGGUUCUCUUCUGCAGGCUCUGUGCACCGGGUCACGAUUCACCAUGUACCACAAUAGUAGCCAGAAGCGGCACUGGACUUUCUCCGGUGAAGAGCAGCUGGCAAGAUUGCGGGCCGACGCCAACCGCAAAUUCAGAUGCAAAGCAGUUGCCAACGGGAAGGUUCUUCCGAAUGAUCCAGUCUUUCUUGAGCCUCAUGAAGAAAUGACACUCUGCAAAUACUAUGAGAAAAGGUUACUGGAAUUCUGUUCAGUGUUUAAGCCAGCAAUGCCAAGGUCUGUUGUGGGUACAGCUUGUAUGUAUUUCAAGCGUUUUUAUCUUAAUAAUUCAGUAAUGGAAUAUCACCCCAGGAUAAUAAUGCUCACUUGUGCAUUUUUGGCCUGCAAAGUAGAUGAAUUCAAUGUAUCUAGUCCUCAGUUUGUUGGAAACCUUCGGGAGAGUCCUCUUGGACAGGAGAAGGCACUUGAACAGAUACUAGAAUAUGAACUACUACUUAUACAGCAACUUAAUUUCCACCUUAUUGUCCACAAUCCUUACCGACCAUUUGAAGGCUUCCUCAUUGACUUAAAGACCAGAUAUCCCAUGUUGGAGAAUCCAGAGAUUUUGAGGAAAACAGCUGAUGACUUUCUUAAUAGAAUUGCAUUGACGGAUGCUUACCUUUUAUACACACCUUCCCAAAUUGCCCUGACUGCCAUUUUAUCUAGUGCCUCCAGAGCUGGAAUUACUAUGGAAAGUUAUUUAUCAGAGAGUCUGAUGCUGAGAGAGAACAGAACUUGCCUGUCACAGUUACUAGAUAUAAUGAAAAGCAUGAGAAACUUAGUAAAAAAGUAUGAACCACCCAGAUCUGAAGAAGUUGCUAUUCUGAAACAGAAGUUGGAGCGAUGUCAUUCUCCUGAGCUUGCACUUAAUGUAAUCUCGAAGAAGAGGAAAGGCUAUGAAGAUGAUGAUUAUGUCUCAAAGAAAUCCAAACAUGAGGAGAUCGCCAAACUUUGGCAUCAGAGCAAGGUCCACACUUACCACUGAAAAUUUUCCCACCCAGCCCCAUUAAAAAAGUUAAAGUUUGAGAGAUUUUAUUUCAACACUGACAAGCUAGUUACUACCUACAAAGGAGGAAGAUCACUAAAGGAACAAGGAGAAAAAGAGUUAAGAAAAUGUUUUAACAUCAAACUACUUUAUUCCUUUAGUUCUAAUAUCAAAUAAGCUCCCUAUUUCAGCUUAAAAAAAAAAGUGAGUGUGCUACUCUUAUUUCACAACAUAUUGUAUUAUUUGGUUUACAGAAGACAAGCAAAUUAUAUACUUUACCUACCAUCUUUAACCUCCUAAAUAAUUCAUUCAAAUAAGUACUGGAAACCCUACUAAACAUUUUGUUUUUUGACUUGCUAAUUCAUGUAAAUAACUAGGUGGAAAAACCAAGGGCACAGCUUCACAAAUAAAGGUGAACAUAUAAAACAAAAUAUAUAUAUAUAUAUACACGUGUGUGUGUGUGUGUAUGUAUAUAUAUAUGCUGUUAAAACACCUGGAUGUGGUACCUUGUUCUGAUGGUUUAGAUACAGAGACCAAAAGAAUGGAAAGAAAGGAAAUAUCAUAAAAGAAAAUGAUUAAUGAUAAAAUAAGACUUACUCAAAGACAAACUCUUCUGACCAUACUGGGUUUUGCCCUUCCCUUGCAUGAGUUUUUGCUACUUGGACACUAUUCAGGUAGAUGUUACAAUAUGGAUUAGUAAAAUGUUUUACUGGAAGUUUAUGGGCUUCUUCAAUAUGUAAAACAAGGCUGCUGACCUAAAAAAAAAAACAACAACAACAAAAAUUAUUACCCCAGAUUUCUAGAAUUGCAUUAAGUUUCAAAAGCAAUUACUCAUAAGAUAAAAAAGCCCAAUAUAGUGACUUAUUUUCCACCUUUUUUUCAGAAAAUAUGAGCUUUGGUUUUAUUUUUCCUUUUUAUAUGACAUACUUAAAACAUUAAAAUAUUUAAAAUAAUUCUUCCCACCUAAGAAGAUAAAACAAUGCAAUUUUAUUUUACAAGUUAUUUCUACCAUUAUCUUCUUGGAGAAAUACACCUUUUCUACCAUAAAACAAUGAUACAGAGAAAAAGUCGAGAGGAAAAUUCUUUAUUCAUGUAAGUAAACAACUGUCACUACUCAAAUCAAAACCCUGCAUGUUAUAUAAUGCUUAUCUAGAAGAUUUUAUUUCUAUAAAAUAGAGUUCCACGGCUAAAACUUUUUAAAACACUGACUCUGCCUUCUUAUUUUAUAGGAAAGGAUACAAAUGUAAAAAAUACUAAGUCAUUUGUCAGUUUAGAUCAUCUCCCUUCUACUGUCAGGUCCUCUUUCUCUGCUGCAGUCAAAUGCUCUACCACUGAGCUAUACCCCACUAGGUCCUCUUUCUCUCUUGCCAUGUACUACUUGUGUGGCCUUGGACAAAUCAGUCCCUCUAAGCCUCAUUUUUCUAAUAUGUAAGUAGAAAGUCUACACUACAGAUUUUCAUAAGGAUUACAAACUAGUUGUCCCUCAGUAUCUGCGGGACUGAUCCCAAGCCCUCCCCUUCUCUGUCCUGGCAGAUAACAAAGCCCAAGGAUGCUCAAGUCCCUUAUAGAAAAUAACAUAGUACCUGCAUAAAAUCUAUGCACACCCUCCUAUAUGCUUUAAAUCAUCUCUAGAUUACUUGUAAUACCUAAUACGAUGAACAGCAUCAUUGUGAUACUAUAUUUUUAUUGUAUUUUUUUCUGAAUAUUUUUGACCCACGAUUGGUAGAUUCCACUGAUGCAGAACCCAUGAAUGGGGGGGAGGGGUCAACUGUAUAUGUAAAUCACUGAAUCUCACUGUCUACUGAUACAUAAAAAGUGCUUGAGAGAUGUUAGCUAUGAUUAUAUUAUACCUGCAUAUGUCAACUUAAUGGCUCAAGUUUCAUACAAAAUACAACUUGCUCUUAUUUGCGAAAAUCCAAUCUGAUUUUUUAUAGCUUACAAAUGUUACAAUGUUAUGAACACAUGGUGAUUGUGUGUAUAUUUAAAUUUCCUUGGGCAACAGCCAGACUUUGGGUUACAAGGACUAUUUAGUCACUAAAUAUCAACUAUUAUCCACUCCCAGUAGAACAGUAUAUUAAUCACUCAGCUUAUCAGAUAGUCACAUGAAGAAAACAGAAGACACUUUGGUCAGUAAAUAAGUAUUGUACCAAACUUUCUUUAAAAACCUCAAGUAUGUCAAAAUUUGCCUAACUUCUUCCAAUUAUACAGGGAUUACUAUAAAGAAAAAAGCCAAUAAAUGGAGGUUAUAAAGUUACCCUUCUACAGGCAAAAAAGAGAAAGCCUACUCUUCACAAAUGAAAGUAAUAGGCAUGUUAUGGUUUCAAAUAAGAUUAAAUAUCUCCUAAGAGUUAAGCAGUACGUUUCAAAAGCUGUUCUUCAGAAUGAAAAUCCCAAAAAAGUUUAUUGGGAUUAGUACUGUAAAUCUGAUGAUCUUUUCAAUGUUCUACUUUUCUGAAAGAAGCCAAAAUAAUUUUUUGAAGGAAAAUUAAAUGCCCAACAGAACAGUUUCUGUUAUGGUGGUAUAGUAUUAUUAUUUUAAGUGGAAGAAUAAAUAAUCUUAUGUUUUUAACAGUUGGCAUUAUGGACUAAACAUUCUCUUUCAUAAAGAAGUAACGUUUUCCUGCUACUGAAGCAAGUGGCAGCUUAACCCCUCAUAAGAUAUGAUGCCCAAAACAGUUCACAUAAAAAUAAAACAUAAAGGGCAAAAUGUUAAAGCAAAAUGUGACAACUACAAAUCAAAGAAAAUUAAGCUUCACCUGACGAAGGCGUUUAUUGGAUGUCCCUGGACUACUUUUCCGUAAACUGCAAAAUGCCUGCAGAGCUUUCAUCCAAUCCUACAAAGAAAAACAUCAUUUCAAAGAAAUAUACACUAGUUUAUUUGGUUUCCAAAUCAUCAAUCAGUUUUUUCAAAUUCAACAAUUCUUUCCUUCUUUAGACUGCUUUUUCUGUUCUCAGACUAUACUGCACUUUAUUUAUGCCCCAAUAAAACAAUAACCAAAACAAUUAUAAUUCUGUAUAAAUCUUGGUUUGAAUUUAUGUAUUAAAUGCACCAUGAGUGGCCAUUAAUUAGGCAAAAAAUCAAAUUUACAUUAAAGAAAUUGUUUCUCUCAAACACAUACUACCUUGGAGAAAUUAACUGUCUAUGUUUAAUGAAGCUGUUAACACUUGAGGCAAGCUUUGGUGGAAUUUAAUUUGAUACAUUUUGUGAGAAGGGGAGAUGGCUCAUUGCAAAACCAGCUGAUACUGUGAUGACUGAUUCGAUGACAAGCAUGCUAAUCUAUACUUUAGACCAUGAUACAGGUAGAAAUGUAUAAGAGGACUUGGGUUAUUUUUUUUAAGCUUCUCAAAUAUAACAUUAGAUUUAAAAAAUUAUUUCAGCCUAAUAUUCAAAUCAAAUUGCAGCCAUGUUUUUUUAAAUGUUUAUCUAGUGCUUUGGGAGAAAGUAGAGAACUACUUAGGUUUAUUAAAAAUAAAUAUAAAUAUUCACUUUGGUUUUUACAUGUUUCUGGAAAGCUGUGUACUACUGCUUUAUUCAGUUAUGUUUUCAGUUUGUUGGCUAUUUCAAUGAAGCUGAACUUUGUCAAUGUUUAGAAAAUGUCUUUAUAUUAGAGCAAAUUAAAACCAAAUCAGUUACCAUAGCUUUUUGAAAUAGAAGAGAAUAACCAGAGACCCCCACAGCUCACCAAAUCAACAAAAACUGGAAAUGCCAUUUAUGGAAAUAUAGAAUAUAGAAAGAUUACGUAUAAAUACAUUUUUUAAAUGUUAUAAGGCUUAUAAAACAUGCUAAAAUGUCAUUAUGGUAUGUGACAUUUUUAUUCAGAAAGAGGGACCAUGAUAACAUGCCUAGAAAAUAGGAUACUGAAGUUUAAAUUUCUAUUCCUAACUCAAUUUCUAACAUUUUAAAAAACCAUCUAACUUACCAAAAUGUUUUGAGCCCUACCUUUCUCAUCUAAAGAUUAGAGAUACAUAGCCAUAAAAAUGUUAUGUGCAUUAUCUGUGAAAUGAGCAUUUAAAUGAGAUAGUUUAUAAAGAUGUGAAAUAUGACAUUUAAUAUGAGCCACAAAACACAGUGGCUUAUUCAAAUUUAUGAGUCUCAUGCUAGGAUCCAGUUUUAAGGGCAUGUUCCUCAUAUCUAGGGUUGGCAAAUUAUAUUUCCAACAAAGUCACUUUCACUUCUUAACCACCUUUAAAUUCCUUUGAGUAUCAGCAGAAAUUUAGUCAUAUUUGUAUAAAAUACAACCAUAUACUCCAGUAAUAUUACGGUUCAAAGAAAGCAAAA
This is an RNA transcript of Cebus imitator (Panamanian white-faced capuchin), 5498 nucleotides long. It is a transcript of the gene named cyclin H, with no coding region annotated. Lineage: Eukaryota; Metazoa; Chordata; Mammalia; Primates; Cebidae. The record is from RefSeq and is a predicted model, not a curated record. The transcript is spliced from 10 exons.